Molecule: long non-coding RNA, 296 nt
Filed under: Mytilus galloprovincialis (Mediterranean mussel)
Lineage: Eukaryota; Metazoa; Mollusca; Bivalvia; Mytilida; Mytilidae
Source: RNAcentral
UUUGGAUAUGCCAACGAGAGCACAUGAACUGCGUUCGGAUUUUCCAUAGCAAUCAUAUACAAAUGUAAAUUGUUUUCGGCUUAAAAUAACUAAGUUGUAACACUGCUAUUUUAUAUUUGGACUUUUUAAAAUGAAUUUGGACUUACCAAUAUGUUUAUAUUCAUUGUAUUGAACUGCCGACUUGUGUGUGAAUAAAGAGCUAGUACCCCGCAUUGUGAAUCGUUCCCAAAGACGAAAUCCUACUCGAAGCCGUUCUGGCAAUGUUUAUAAGGAAGAUUCAAAAUCUUUAUUCAUAC